AAGACUAACGCGGUUCUUCUUCUUCUCGUGUGUUUAAUGGCGGUUGGCAAACCAGCGUAAGCUGCACUUCCGCCACCUACUGGGAUGAAGUGCUGUUUUCUAUUCUAUUAACGUUAUAUGCCUCACAUGUUCAACAGUUUCUGUUAUUCCUCAGUGAUUGCAGCAAUCUGACUCUCUUUAUCCUUUUAUUUGCAAUGAAUGAUUAAAGUUAGAGUGUCCUAUCUUGGUUAUAGCAGUAUCUUCUCUUCUGUUUCCAUAUAGCUUGGCUUUCUUUCAAUCCACAAAUGCAACCACCAGUGUUGUCAGAUUGGAAAUGUCAGAGUAUCGUACUAUAAGCUCAAAAUGUAUGUAUUUGGAAGAAAAUGACACGCAUAUUUAUCUACUAGACCGACAACGUUUUGACAGGACCUUCAAAUAACCACAACAAAUAACUAGGCCAGGGCCCUAUGAAAUCUGUUGUAUUAUUUCCCAAAUUCCGUUUUAUUGUACCUCUUUUACAAAUUCUGAGUUUUAGCAUGUCUGAUCAUUUGAAUGCAUAAAAAUUACUUUUACUGUAUUUGUGAGAUUGAAAAGCAGGACAUCUUGUGUCUGCUGUGCUUUACUGCGCUUGCUGUAUUUUUCCACAUUACUCAAUGGUCAUAACACAAAUAUAGCCUACCACUGCCAUGUUAGGAUAUUUUAGCUCUUGAUACAUUUUCUUAUUGCUCAAUAUUUCCCUUCUGCUUGACUCUAUACGCAUAACAUAACAAUAAAACUGAACUGC
Carassius auratus (goldfish) is the source of this 763-nucleotide long non-coding RNA. RefSeq lists it as uncharacterized. Lineage: Eukaryota; Metazoa; Chordata; Actinopteri; Cypriniformes; Cyprinidae. The transcript has 2 exons. The record is from RefSeq and is a predicted model, not a curated record.